Molecule: unclassified non-coding RNA, 255 nt
Filed under: Hevea brasiliensis (rubber tree)
Lineage: Eukaryota; Viridiplantae; Streptophyta; Magnoliopsida; Malpighiales; Euphorbiaceae
Source: RNAcentral
UAAUAAGGUUCCAAUACGUGAAAAUAUUAGAACGAAGACUCCAUUUGAAAUUGACACCGCGGCUGCAGCAGAAUUAGUAACAGCAGCGUCGGAGGAAGCAGUCGUCGCCGCCACGGUGGUGGUGGAGGAGUGGCGGUGGAGAUCGGUGGUCCGUUGAUCGAGAAUUUCGAGGUAGCCAGUAUCUCGGAGCCAGGAUUCGAAUACGGGUUCGGGUACACUCAGAGAUAACGGGUUAGCUGAGAACGCCAUUUUUGU